AGUGAGCGCUGGCGGCGUGCUUAACACAUGCAAGUCGAACGAGAACGGAAUAUAGCUUGCUAUAUUUGUCAGCUAAGUGGCGCACGGGUGAGUAAUGUAUAGAUAACCUGCCCUUAAGAAAGGAAUAACAGUUGGAAACGACUGCUAAUGCCCUAUAUGCCUUUAAUACAUAAGUAUGCAAGGGAAACGCUUUAGUGCUUAAGGAUGGGCCCGCGUCUGAUUAGCUAGUUGGUGAGGUAAUGGCUCACCAAGGCGACGAUCAGUAGCCGACCUGAGAGGGCGGACGGCCACACUGGAACUGAGACACGGUCCAGACUCCUACGGGAGGCAGCAGUGGGGAAUAUUGCACAAUGGGCGCAAGCCUGAUGCAGCAACGCCGCGUGAGUGAAGAAGGCCUUCGGGUCGUAAAGCUCUGUCCUGUGGGAAGAACAAAUGACGGUACCACAGGAGGAAGCCCCGGCUAACUACGUGCCAGCCGCCGCUGUAA
This 487-nucleotide ribosomal RNA is filed under the name uncultured bacterium. Its description in RNAcentral is "partial 16S ribosomal RNA". It matches the Rfam family "Bacterial small subunit ribosomal RNA", at positions 29 to 523 of the family's 1533-position model. The record is from RNAcentral.